GGGCCCGCACAAGCGGUGGAGCAUGUGGUUUAAUUCGAUGAUACGCGAGGAACCUUACCAGGGUUUAAAUGCAGAACGACAGGGGUGGAAACACCCCCUUCUUCGGACGGACUGCAAGGUGCUGCAUGGUUGUCGUCAGCUCGUGCUGUGAAGUGUCGGGUUAAGUCCCAUAACGAGCGCAACCCCCAUUUCUAGUUGCCAGCGGUUCGGCCGGGGACUCUAGAGAAACUGCCAGCGUAAGCUGUGAGGAAGGUGGGGAUGACGUCAAAUCAUCACGGCCCUUACAUCCUGGGCCACACACGUGCUACAAUGGUAGGGACAACAGGUUGCCAACCCGCGAGGGUGAGCCAAUCCCAAAACCCUAUCUCAGUUCGGAUCGGAGUCUGCAACUCGACUCCGUGAAGUUGGAAUC
RNAcentral lists this ribosomal RNA (412 nucleotides) under uncultured bacterium. RNAcentral's name for it is "bacterial SSU rRNA". It matches the Rfam family "Bacterial small subunit ribosomal RNA", at positions 917 to 1333 of the family's 1533-position model. The record is from RNAcentral.